This 493-nucleotide ribosomal RNA is filed under the name uncultured bacterium. RNAcentral describes it as "partial 16S ribosomal RNA". It matches the Rfam family "Bacterial small subunit ribosomal RNA", at positions 29 to 508 of the family's 1533-position model. The record is from RNAcentral.
AGUGAACGCUGGCGGUAGGCCUAACACAUGCAAGUCGAACGGCAGCACAGUAAGAGCUUGCUCUUACGGGUGGCGAGUGGCGGACGGGUGAGGAAUACAUCGGAAUCUACUUUUUCGUGGGGGAUAACGUAGGGAAACUUACGCUAAUACCGCAUACGACCUACGGGUGAAAGCAGGGGAUCUUCGGACCUUGCGCGAUUGAAUGAGCCGAUGUCGGAUUAGCUAGUUGGCGGGGUAAAGGCCCACCAAGGCGACGAUCCGUAGCUGGUCUGAGAGAAUGAUCAGCCACACUGGAACUGAGACACGGUCCAGACUCCUACGGGAGGCAGCAGUGGGGAAUAUUGGACAAUGGGCGCAAGCCUGAUCCAGCCAUACCGCGUGGGUGAAGAAGGCCUUCGGGUUGUAAAGCCCUUUUGUUGGGAAAGAAAAGCAGCAGGUUAAUACCCCGCUGUUCUGACGGUACCCAAAGAAUAAGCACCGGCUAACUUCGUGC